RNAcentral lists this transfer RNA (69 nucleotides) under Acetobacter pasteurianus. RNAcentral's name for it is "tRNA-Leu". Lineage: Bacteria; Pseudomonadati; Pseudomonadota; Alphaproteobacteria; Acetobacterales; Acetobacteraceae. The record is from RNAcentral.
AAGUUAGUAACUGGGAUUUCCGCCUUCACACGGCGGGGGUCACAGGUUCAAUCCCUGUCGCACCCACCA